GAUACUGGCGGACGGGUGAGUAACACGUGGGUAACCUGCCUGUAAGACUGGGAUAACUCCGGGAACCGGGGCUAAUACCGGAUGCUUGUUGAACCGCAUGGUUCAAACAUAAAAGGUGGCUUCGGCUACCACUUACAGAUGGACCCGCGGCGCAUUAGCUAGUUGGUGAGGUAAUGGCUCACCAAGGCAACGAUGCGUAGCCGACCUGAGAGGGUGAUCGGCCACACUGGGACUGAGACACGGCCCAGACUCCUACGGGAGGCAGCAGUAGGGAAUCUUCCGCAAUGGACGAAAAGUCUGACGGAGCAACGCCGCGUGAGUGAUGAAGGUUUUCGGAUCGUAAAGCUCUGUUGUUAGGGAAGAACAAGUACCGUUCGAAUAGGGCGUACCUUGACGGUACCUAACCAGAAAAGCCACGGCUAACUAACGUGCCAGCAGCCGCGGUAAUACG
This 451-nucleotide ribosomal RNA is filed under the name Bacillus subtilis. RNAcentral's name for it is "bacterial SSU rRNA". It matches the Rfam family "Bacterial small subunit ribosomal RNA", at positions 91 to 527 of the family's 1533-position model. The record is from RNAcentral. Lineage: Bacteria; Bacillati; Bacillota; Bacilli; Caryophanales; Bacillaceae.